Molecule: ribosomal RNA, 81 nt
Filed under: Candidatus Doudnabacteria bacterium RIFCSPHIGHO2_02_FULL_46_11
Lineage: Bacteria; Candidatus Doudnaibacteriota
Description: partial 16S ribosomal RNA
Source: RNAcentral
UUAAAGUAGCAAUACGCUUGAGAAACGGCCUGCGUCCCAUCAGCUAGUUGGUAAGGUAAUGGCUUACCAAGGCUAUGACGG